Dermochelys coriacea (leatherback sea turtle) is the source of this 3479-nucleotide long non-coding RNA. RefSeq lists it as uncharacterized. The record is from RefSeq and is a predicted model, not a curated record. The transcript has 3 exons. NCBI's taxonomy places the organism in Eukaryota, Metazoa, Chordata, Testudines, Dermochelyidae.
GAGCUGAGGCCUUUUACCCAAUAGGAUUCAUCUUCAGCUCAGAGCUAUGAUUGAUUUCCUUGGAAUCAUGCAUCUGUUUACCAUGAAUACAAGAUUCAUAGCCAUGAUCAGCAGAAUUUUCCCAGAAGCCCAUAUUAAUACCACUGUGAUUUCAAGAGACCCUGAAAGAAUCUGUCAGUCUAAAUAGUAGCAGCUGGCAUCCCCUGAGGAAGAAUUCCCUUUCCCAUCCCACUUUCUGCAUGCAUGAACCCAGAAGAAUAAUUCAGCAAAGAUCAAGCCACAGAUCUGUGCUAAAUCUGUCAAGCUGCAUGUACUCUGUGAAGCAGGUCAAAUGGAAGAGAGAAGCCUAUGGCAGGGGGAACUGCAGAGGGAAGAAAGGAGGACACACAAAGACAGGGAAGGGGCAAUAAGGAAGAAAGAGAAACAAGAGGCUUAGAGUGGUGGUCAUAAAAGAUUGCAUCUUUUCCUGUUAAGUGAUAUUGAAAAAAAACCAAGGCAUUUAAAUAAUAAUAAUAAUAAUAAUAAUAACUAGAAAUUCAGUUAUCCCCUAGGGGCCAUAUACUGUCCUUGAUCUUUGUUUAAAUCUACUGAUAUCAAAGAAAGAUUCACCAUGGAGAGAAGGGUAGCAUGUUGUCUUACGUUUGUAACCUAGCCCACAGACCAUAAUCAAAUACAGAACUCUGCCCUCUCCACAGAAUAAGGAGGAGACCCCUGUUAAGGGUAAGAUGCGCACAAACUAUAUUUUAAAAUGCGUCUCAAACAUUUGAUUAGUUUAUACAGAUAGCUGAAGUCACUCAUUAAUUCAGCUGUAUUUGCUCUGAGAGCUCUCAGCAUUCAACAAUCUUUCAAAUUCCUGAUUUAGAGACUGGUAGAGAAACUCUGCGAGUAUAUUUGUAUUCUUAUGACUUGGAAUUUGUAUCCCUCCAAGUCUCUUCACUCAGAAAUUUCAUCUUAGAAAAUUAUAUGGAAUCUUUUAGUUAUAGUACUACUCUCCCAGCUCUUUGACUCAAUCUGUCCGUCUUAUAUAGUUUAUACACAAGCACCCCCAGGAUGCUGGCAUUCUACCAUGUUUCAGAAGUGCCUAUAAUAUCAAGAUCCUCUUCCAUUUUCAAACAAACAUUCUAGUUCACCUAUUUGUGUUAAGCUUCUCACAUCAAUAAAUAGAGUAGUGUCCCAUCCAUGGCUCUUGAGGCUUCAAUUGUGUUAAGAAAAUGUAUAGUUAACUAUGAAUUUUUAAUGUUUUCCCUGAGCCAUGACCUGCCGGUUUUGAAUGUGUUUUAAUCAGCCCAGUCAUUAUGGAUAGAAUGUAAAAGAGCUUAGCUUCCACAACAGCGAGAGCCAGGAGAGCUCUAAGCAGAUGCUCUCCAUUCCCUGGUGAAGCUGCUCCGCAGAUCUCCCACUCGCCACCUGCUGCAUCACCAGGGAAGGUGAGAAGUUCUGGUUGGGUUUAUUGCAUGCUUACCUGCCAGACUGCGAGCACUCCAGGAACAGCAAGGUAGUACUCGACUGGCUAUGCCUGAACACAGAGCAAUCCAUAGAAAGGAUGACUCCCCUCCCACACACAGCCAUCAGAAGGGAAGAGAAUAGGUACAGAACCAUGUGAUUCCCUCUCUUAGCCCAAGUUAGAACAGUUUACAAGAGCUGGGGAAAGCUGGUGUGCAACUCAUGCCAGCUAGUUCCUCACCCAAUGCAACCGAUGCACCACACGAUGCAGGAAAAGAGGUGUCUUUGCCAGCUCUAUAUUCACUUGGGGCAUCUCUCUGCCAGAGGAAUCCUCAGCUGGGGGGACCUGAGGGUAUUUUCUGCUCUCUUCUCACAGGGACCACAAAAGGGCAGAAACUAUGCCCCUAAACAAGUAAUGAUGGCUGCUCUUAACUUUUCCUAAAGUAAUACAUAUUCAAAAAUUAAAUAGCUGAUGGGGCUUCUGUUUGGGGACCCAAGACAGCAUCCUGGCCUGAAUCACGGGAAAUCUUAUUAGGCUCCCCCACUUAUUAGUGACUCCCCCAAAAUAUUACAAGUUUUCUAUGCCAGCAGUCUGUUUCUCUGUUGGUUAAAGUGGAGCCUAUCCCUUCUGUUACAGGCUCUCCCUUCACUAAAAAGUUUCUUCGAUGCCUAAUAAGACUUCCCGUAAUUCAGGCCAGAUACUGUCUUGGGUCCCCAAACAAAAGCCCCACCAACUAUCUAACUUUUGAAUAUGAAUCAUCAUAUUCUACAACAAUAAAGUACAGUAGUCAUGAGGAAAAAAUCCAACACACCAGAAACAUGGAAAAAAACAGUCAACUUCAAAACAAUUCUGCUCAUAUCCAAUCUUCCGCCAUUCUGAUGCACCAAUGUUUAUUAUUAGGGAUGUUUCAAUGAAGACAUGAUCCUUAUCUGCUUCUUUUCCACAUUCCAAAACUUAUGUCAAUUUGACAUGGUAUCACAAUCAGUUGCUAUGUAAAUUACUAUAUCACCACCACAAAUUGCCACCACUAAGACAGCCAAAGUUGCCAUGAUAGUUUGGGGUUGUUUUUUUUUUAAAUCACAAGAGUCGCAAGAAAAACGUUGGCAAAAAAAUCAGAGAUUUUUAUCCAUUUUUUUCUAUAACUCAGACAAACUACCCUAAUAAGACCCCAGGUCUGCAAAUGUUUACUCACAUGCUUAACUUCAAGCACACACAUAAUUUAUUACAGGACUGUGGCCUAAAUAUGCAACACAAAUUUUCUCCCUUCUUGAGAGGGAAAAGGUUUCACUAAGGAAAUAAGCUUCAGUUUCAACUUUUACUACAUUAACAAAAUGAAUACAAUAUUUCAAGAUUAUGAAAAAUACCUCAAAGCCUUUUAAACUUGUCUUAAUUUCUCCUUUUUCACUUCCUAAUUUUCUCUAGCUAGUACGAAACAAGACCUUCAAAUCAAGAAAGAAGCUUUCACUAGAUCUGUCAAGAAAUACAAUCUUCCUGCAAGAAAGUUCCAAGGCUGAAGUCACAAAUGGACUUGCUACAAUUCCCACCACAAUUUCUAUAUAAUCAUAGAAGCAGUGUAUUACUGUUAUUUCACAUGUACAAUAUGUACCAAAGCCCAAUGGCUUCCCUAAUUCAAAUCUAGGCCAUACAGAUUCAAAGUCACUCAUUCCUCCUAAUCAAACUGACCAUGGACUCCACAUGACCUUGCCAACAUGAUCUCCUCUGCCAGUUUCAGUGUUUAGCCAACUGUUAUGAAUGACUCAGAAAAGGCUAGGCUGUAAUAUUCUCUCUCACUCUUCCUCACCGCCUGUUACAGACGCCCAGAAAAGCAAGUUUCAACGUCUCCAAUACAAGAAGAAAGUGAAAUUUAAACAAACUCUUUAUACAACGAGACCCUGAAACUUAGAAUUAUUCACCCAAAUCCUAUAUUAAAAGAAUAAAGAAAGACCCAAAACUUCUGAUAAAAUAAGACCCCUAAAAAAGGAAUUUCAUAAUUAAAAGUACUUCGAAUUUCUGAACCAGCUGGCUCUUUUUAAAA